AUAUGGUAAUAAUAAUGUGUACAGUAUAUAGUAUAUUGUAAUAAUAAUGUGUAUAGUAUGUAGUAUAUAACAUAAUAUGUAUAAUAAUAUAGAGGAAAAACUUCAAAUACCAUUUCUAUGGUUUCACAUUUUCUCACUUUAGCACCCUGUGGUUUAAAGUGUAUCAAUUUAGAGCCCUGUAAUUUUAUUUUUAUUUUUUUAUUAUCGAUUCCACUAAUUUUUUUCGUUAAAUCAGUGACAAAGUUAAAACUAAAGGGUACUAAAGUGAAUAUUCGAUAAACUUAGGUAGGGUAUCUGNACAAAGUUAAAACUAAAGGGUACUAAAGUGAAUAUUCGAUAAACUUAGGUAGGGUAUCUGAAGUUUUUUAUAUAUAAUUUAACAAAAUAUUAACGAAAAAGCUGACAAAAAUAUAAAAAUGAAAUCACAAGACACUAACUUAAUAAAUUUUAAACCACAUGGCACUAAAAUGAGAAAGUGGGAAACCACAGGAGUGGUAUUUGAAGUUUAUCCUAAUAUAUAUUAUAAUUUUGCAAGGAUUUGAUUUCCAAAUAUAAAUAAUAAUAAUAAUAAUAAUAAUAAUAUAUAGUAUUCUUACUAUUAUAUAUAAAUAACAUAUAAUAUAUAUAAUGGAAGAAAAUAAGUGUAGGGCUACUGCUACUAUACUAUCGAAAGUAUAGAGAAUUUGGUGUUUUCAACUUUUUUGUCAUUGGAUCAAGAAUUGUACAGUUGAAAUGAUUGAGAUACCCUCUAAGGUUGAGUAGUCUUCGUAGAAUAAUAAUAUUAAUCCAAAAGUUAAAAAUAAUCAGAGGUUGAUCGAAGGGUCAAAAAGUCAGAAGCACUAUAUCCUUUAUACUUUCGAUAAUACAAUAUGAAGCACUAGAUUCUUUAUACUUCUGAUAGUAUAGUAGCUCCACUCAAAAAAUAAUAUAAAUGAUUUUUUCUUCAUUUUUCUUUUUCAAUCAAACAAGAAUGAGUAAAAAACUUUUUUUUUUCCUAUAAACCAAACACUGAAAAAAAUAAAAUUUUUUCCCAUAAAAAAUCUCGCUCUAAUUUUACAGAGAAAC
This 1065-nucleotide long non-coding RNA is filed under the name Ananas comosus (pineapple). RNAcentral's name for it is "long non-coding RNA (ACOM_LNC027468)". Lineage: Eukaryota; Viridiplantae; Streptophyta; Magnoliopsida; Poales; Bromeliaceae. The record is from RNAcentral.